Molecule: ribosomal RNA, 332 nt
Filed under: uncultured bacterium
Lineage: Bacteria
Description: bacterial SSU rRNA
Rfam family: Bacterial small subunit ribosomal RNA
Source: RNAcentral
GGGCCCGCACAAGCGGUGGAGUAUGUGGUUUAAUUCGACGCAACGCGCAGAACCUUACCCAAUCUUAACAUCCCGAGAACGAAACAGAAAUGUUUCGGUGCCCUUAUGGGAACUCGGUGAUAGGUGCUGCAUGGCUGUCGUCAGCUCGUGUCGUGAGAUGUUCGGUUAAGUCCGGUAACGAGCGCAACCCCUAUCCUUAGUUGCCAAUGAUGGAACUCUAAGGAGACUGCCGGUGUCAAACCGGAGGAAGGUGGGGACGACGUCAAGUCCUCAUGGCCCUUACGAUUGGGGCUACACACGUACUACAAUGGCAGUGACAGAGGGACGCUACU